CCAGAAAAACAACUGAGUGAUCGGGAGAUUAUCAGCCUCCAGGAAAAAGACUUUAUUUUAGCCUGUGGACGCUGAAGAUGAUGCAAGACAUUGGAAAUAAACCAGAGGCAAAGAUUGAUAAUUUACAGGAAACACUGAGCAAAGAAAUACAAGAUUUAAAACUUAAGCAAGCAGAGAUGCAAAAUACAAUAACUGAAAUUAAAAAAUCAUUAGAAGCAACCAACAGCAGAAUACAGGAGGCAGAAGAAUGAAUAAGUGAGGUGGAGGACAGACUACUAGAAAUCACUGAUGCAGAACAGAAGAGAGAAAAAAAGAUUGAAAAGAAAUGAAGAGUCUCAGAGAACUCUGGGACAACGUUAAAUGCACCAACAUCCAUAUUAUAGGGGUGCCAGAAGGAGAAGAGAGAGAGCAAGGGACAGAAAAAAUAUUCAAAGAGAUAAUAGCCAAAAACUUCCCUAACAUGGGAAAGGAACCACUCGCUCAAAUCCAGGAAGCAGUUACCAUAUAAAAUAAACCCAAGGAGGAACACCCCAAGACACAUAUUAAUCAAACUGACUAAAAUUAAAGACAAAGAAAAAAAUCUUGAAAGCAGCUAGGGAAAAGAAACAAAUAAUAUACAAGGGAACCCUGAUAAGGUUAUCGGCAGAUUUUUCAGCAGCAACUCUUCAGGCCAGAAGGGAGUGGCAUGAUAUACUUAACAUGAUGAAAGGAAAAAACCUUCAGCCAAGAUUACUUCACCCAGCAAGGCUCUCAUUCAGAUCUGCAGGAGAAAUCAAAAGCUUCAGAUAAGAAAAAGCUAAGAGAAUUCAGCAAAAUUAAACCAGCUUUACAACAAAUACUAAAGGAACUUGUCUAGGCAGAAAAGAAAAGGCCACAACCAGAAACAAAAAUACCACAAAUGACAAGGCUCACCAAUAAAGGCAUAUAUACAGUAAAGAUAGGAAAUCACAAUUAUGCUACCCAAAUCAGAAAUCAUGAGAAGAGAAGGGUACAAAUGUAAGACACUGGAGAUGUACUUGCAAUUAAGAGACCAACAACUUAAAACAAGCUCAUGUAUAUAUAUAUAUAUAUACACUCCUACAUCAAAACUUCAAGGCAACUGCAAACCAAAAAUCUACAAUUUAUGCACAAACAAAUAAGAAAAAUCAACUCAAAUACAACACUAAAGAUAGUCAUCAAACCACAAG
This 1187-nucleotide long non-coding RNA is filed under the name Sus scrofa (pig). RNAcentral's name for it is "lncRNA (ENSSSCG00060009572.1)". The record is from RNAcentral. Lineage: Eukaryota; Metazoa; Chordata; Mammalia; Artiodactyla; Suidae.